This 433-nucleotide ribosomal RNA is filed under the name uncultured bacterium. RNAcentral's name for it is "partial 16S ribosomal RNA". It matches the Rfam family "Bacterial small subunit ribosomal RNA", at positions 29 to 507 of the family's 1533-position model. The record is from RNAcentral.
AACGAACGCUGGCGGCAUGCCUAACACAUGCAAGUCGAACGAGACCUUCGGGUCUAGUGGCGCACGGGUGCGUAACGCGUGGGAACCUGCCCUUAGGUUCGGAAUAACUCCCCGAAAGGGGUGCUAAUACCGGAUAAUGUCUUCGGACCAAAGAUUUAUCGCCUUUGGAUGGGCCCGCGUUGGACUAGCUAGUUGGUAGGGUAAAAGCCUACCAAGGCGACGAUCCAUAGCUGGUCUGAGAGGAUGAUCAGCCACACUGGGACUGAGACACGACCCAGACUCCUACGGGAGGCAGCAGUGGGGAAUAUUGGACAAUGGGCGAAAGCCUGAUCCAGCAAUGCCGCGUGAGUGAUGAAGGCCUUAGGGUUGUAAAGCUCUUUUACCCGGGAUGAUAAUGACAGUACCGGGAGAAUAAGCUCCGGCUAACUCCGUG